This 1819-nucleotide long non-coding RNA is filed under the name Malus domestica (apple). RNAcentral's name for it is "long non-coding RNA (MDOM_LNC008366)". The record is from RNAcentral. Lineage: Eukaryota; Viridiplantae; Streptophyta; Magnoliopsida; Rosales; Rosaceae.
UGGGCUAUAUUGUAAAACACAAACUUUUGAGGUCACUUUGUAAAAACACAAAAGUCCACUACUUCAUGUAAUUACAACUAGAACCCAAAAAUUUCAACAAAAACAAAAACUUCAUUAAAGGAGCAAAACAAUUUGUCCUUUAGUGAUUUUGGGCUUUUACGUAAAAACGUAAACUUUCGGGUCAAGGUGCAAAUACACAAAAGUCUCAAAACUUUAUGUAAUUACAUAAAAGCCCCAAAAGUACCCCCAUUAUAGGGGUGGCAGGUUAUGGUAGUGAUAAUGAGUGAUGGGUUGGUUUUUGUUGAAAAUUCAAAGUCAAAUAUGUUAAAAAAGAUAGGUAUGGUGUUGAAAUAAAAUAGGUAUGAGUGUGAAAGUAAAGUAUCAAUCGUGUACAUCAACCAUGACUAGCAUAAUUUCAAACACACUUUUUCAAAAGUGACUCGUUGAUGGAAAAGUCACACCAACCAUCAUAAAUCAAGACUUUAUGUAAACAACAUAAAAAAAUUCAACAAAAACAAAAACUUCAUUAAAGGAGCAAAACAAUUUGUCCUUUAGUGAUUUUGGGUCUUUACGUAAAAACGUAAACUUUCAGGUCAAAGUGCAAAUACACAAAAGUAUCAAAACUUUAUGUAAUUGCAUAAAAGCCUCAAAAGUACCCCCAUUAUAGGGGUGGCCGGUUAUGGUAGUUAUAAUGAGUGAUGGGUUGAUUUUUGUUAAAAAUUCGAAGUCAAGUAUGUUGAAAAAGAUAGGUAUGGUGUUGAAAGAAAAUAGGUAUGGGUGUGAAAGCAAAGUAUCAAUCAUGUACACCAACCAUGACUAACAUAAUUUCAAACACACUUUUUCAAACGUGACUUGUUGAUGGAAAAGUCACAACAACCAUCAUAAAUCAAGGCUUUAUGUAAACAACCAAAAACUUUGAAUCAAAACACCCAACGUUUUGUUCUUGGCAAGAACAAAGCAAGAACAUUGAAGAACAUCCAUGAAAACCCAUAAGAGCUCCAUGAAUGUUUUCACUCAAUAAAACUCAAAUUUUCACUACUCAAAAGGGUUAACAUCCUAGGGUACUUAGGGGGUUCCAAAAGUCACUUUAAAACACUUUUAACAAGACAAACAUGAACCCAAAAAUCCACCCUUUGGAUUUGGCCGAAUUUCCCCAAAAACAUGGCACCAAAUUUUAGCUCUAAUGCAUGCUCAUAUGAACUAUAUCUACAACAUUUGAGAUGACAAAUUUUCUAGCAAAAUUUACAUUCAAAGAAGCAAGAAUAAAGCUUGUAAUAAUUACAACAUUCAAAUUAAAGACUAUGAACUAUAAAACCCAAAAGGAUUCACCAACUACUAGACCUAGGCUCUGAUACCACUUGAAGGAAAUAUUUGUGAUAAACAAGUUCAUUUGAGCAACAUCCACAACAUGAAAUUAACAAUUAAAGGCAGAAUCAUGCUUGUAUGCACUCAAAAACAAAAAUUUACCCAUGAAAUUCAAGGCCUAGUGAGUGUGGUGAACCAAGACUCAACUCAAAACCAAAGUGAGUUGAGAAAUCUUAUACCUUUGUUGAUUCCUCUUUGCAUAAGCAAAGGUUAAUCACCUAAGAGAUAGGGCCUUCAUUCCCUUACUUCUUAACUCCAUGGAUUUCUUGGAUGAUGAUAGUAGAAUGGAUUCUCCAAGUUCCCAAAAUAGAGAACCUCUAAGUGUCCACACCAAGGAGAGCAUUGAUGAAGAGAUGAGUGACCUAGAGGUAGUAAGAUUGAUAGCUAUUUUCCUUUAGUGUGGCCAGCCUCUUAGAGAGAAAAGAGAGCAUUGUGUUCUCAUCUUUUCUCCAAA